Molecule: unclassified non-coding RNA, 202 nt
Filed under: Hevea brasiliensis (rubber tree)
Lineage: Eukaryota; Viridiplantae; Streptophyta; Magnoliopsida; Malpighiales; Euphorbiaceae
Source: RNAcentral
GAGGAGGAAGGACACCAGCCGAUCUGCCUAUGCCUGGAGUCUCGCCGUUGUCCAGUGAAGCGUGUUAGCUCACGUGCCUCCAGAAGACUCGCGUCAUUCUCCACGGGCCGGCGCGUGCACCCUUUUUUUGGUGAUUUCUCUGACCGCGCCUCUUGUCGACGACCUUCUCUGUCCGGCUCGCCUCUGACCAACGUGUUUCCAC